GGGCCUUUGGGGGCAGGCACAGGAUGUCACCUCUGCGGUGACACAUAUCCCCCUGAACCUCGGGCCGGAGAGUCCACUUCAUGGUGGAAACUCAGCCCGCAGGGUGGACUUGUGGCCCUCAUUCAGCUGCCAGCUGCUGCGUGCUGACACCAGCUCUGCCAGGUCUGGGGAGUCCAUUUCCCCUCACCCAGCUGCUGUCAGAAAUCUCUUCUUUUCAAAGGACUGUCACUAAGUUCCCCAGCGUCUCCCCGAGGCCUUUUCCUCAGCGAGGGCUGGAGGGCUGAAGGGCUCGGCCUUGCCGAGCAAGUCUCCAAAGGCCAUGCAGGCCGGGCGAUUCGUAAAUGCCUGGAGCAUUUUUCUAGUUGGCUAACCAGCAGCCCUCCUGCUGCUGCGUUUCGAUUUGGAUCUAGAGAAAGGGUCAGAGAGGGAGGCAGCUGCUGAAAGGGAGAGAGGCUGCCAUGUUGGGCUUUGCCUGGCUGACUUGCCAGAGGUUGGAGAGGGGAUGGAAAAAGCGGGAUUCAGCUGGAAGCAAAUGCAAACGCGGGGACGAGUCCUAAGAGUUGUGGGCCCCGGGCCUGUGAAUGCAUCUUUCCACGAGGAGUUUGCUCCUCUGUGAAAUGGGAUCAUUGAGUGCUUCAGCCGCCCACCCUGGGCGGUUGCUUCUGACAGCGUGUGACCUUAAGCUUCUUGGUUUGCUUUGUAUUGCUGCUGUUAGUAUUAUUCAGGAUUGAGGGGUGAGAGACAAAGAAUGUUUCGUGUUUGGAAUUGAUUGCGAAUUUUAGAUGUUUUUAUACUAGUUCUUGCUCUUAUGAAGUUUCAGCAUACUGAGAUGUUCCUGAGAUCUUUGGCGAGGUUUCCAGCACAUAAAAAAUAAUUCCGGUCAGGCAUAGCAGUAGGGGCUUUAUGUUUGUUUUUGCCUUUCAUGCCCUCGGCCUUUCCAUAAGGAGAGGUUUAAAGAUGGAGAGACGGGGGGCUUAGAGGUGCCACAUUGUGACAACUCGGCCAGUAACCGCUCUGUACUGUUGAUGGUAAGGGGUACAGGAAAAUCUUCACCCCUGGGCCCGGAGUCUGCACCCAAGACUCACCAGGAAUAGCACGCGGCAGGCUGUGCUUGCUUUCCCACAAUGCCUGGUGCCUAAGAGUUGCUCCGUCAACAGCGAAAGACGGCUUGGAAAGGCCUGGCUGCCCUGAGGACGGUCCUUGCACCCGGCUGGGCCCUACUCAGCACCGGUGGUUCCAGCCCCCGUGCUUUCUUCUCUUUAGUCCUUUGAGUAUUGACGUUUCAGGGGUCCCUCCUGCCUCCAGGAAGCUGGCGUCUCUAAGUGCGUUAGCAUGUGCUAGGCGACCACUGGAGGUGGGAGGUCUCAAGCCCAAGAAAAGACAGGCUUGGAGGGACAGAAGGAGGGCAGGGUGGGCUCGGGGCUCUCCGGUGAAAGGUGAGUAGACAGCCCACCUGGCCCAGGCCCUCCCUUCCUCAUCGCGGGGGCCAGAGACCCUGUGAAAACUGUGCCAAAAGAGUCUGCAGUGCAAGGCGGCCCCCUGCACGCCCGUGCCCAGGGAACCAGGAAGCGGUGUCAGGGCACACUGUGUUUUGUGUUGCUUUCUGCGGUGGCCCGGGGACAGAUUUGUAGCUAUUUCCAAAAGGCUGGGGAAAUAGCCCUUGGAAUCAGAGCUCCGGAAAAUUCUUUUUGUUAUUUUUAACCUAUUAUAUUUUGUGCGGAGCCCUGACCGGAGAAGAGGAAGAAGAAGAAGAGGGACAAGACCAGGCUCCCGACUCUGCUCUCAGGGGCCCAGGUCCCUGUGCCUGAGUUUCGGGGCCUCCCACGACCUGCCCCUACCUGCCUCAACCCACCCACCGGCCCCUGUGAGCCUGCAGGCUCCAUCUGUUCAUCCAAAUCCCCAGAGAGACACAACCCCCCGGAUGACAGGGAGACGAUAUUUAGUGAACUGGCCACAGGGCAGACCCUUUGUUACAGCCUCUCAUGCACAGCCUCUGAGUCUAAUCUCACCCUGUGCCGUGGCUACUCAUGUCCCCAUUUUACUGCUGAAGAAACUGAGGCUCAGAGAAUUUAAGCAACUUGCUCAAGAUCUAGCUCCCCAGUCCGCGUCCUCCCCUGGAGGCCCAUCUUGGUAGCUCCUCGCUGUACUCAAUGCAACGGAACAGAAGGUUCCCCCAGCUAAGGGGCUAAAAAGGAGGGGAUGGUACCAGGAGCCCGGAGGAGAGUCAAAGAACACUCUCGAGCUCUUCAGACCCUGCGGUGCUAACUUUCCAGUCCACUUGGCGGCUUUGGUGGCAUCUUAGCGCCAAAGGGAAUGUUACAGGGGGCUCUCAUUCAACCCAGUUCCCUAUUGCGGCUUAAAUUCGCCACGGCAACAUCCCCUCCAAGUGGCUGCUCAGCCUCCUCACAGCAAGGGCAACAAUAAGAAGGCAGAGAAUCUUCAAGAAGAUGCAGAGGGUGAGGAGUAGCUUGUUUGUCUGGGGCGUGUGACAGAAUGAGAGAAACUGACAGGAAAUACUGUGGGGACCAGACUGUGUAAUAACAAUAAGAACAAUAAGAACAACCACAACAAAACCAACAGAAGGAGCAAUUAGAACCAUAAUAAUAGCAAACCUUUUUUGAGAGCUUACUAUAUAUAUAUGGGGGCGCUUUCCAUGGGUAAUCUCCCCAAACCCUUGCACACAUCCCUGAUAGAGGCAUUUUAAGGUUCCCCAUGUUGCAGAUGAGGGAGUCCUGGAGAGACACAUAAUGUGCCCCAAACCACACAGUAAAAGCCUGAGGCAGGUUUAAACUCACACUGGGUGGCUCAGAAGCUGCCUUGUUGAAACACUACACUUUUCUAGAAUCCUGCACGAAGGCCUUUCUUUAGACUUUUAUUCUGUAGGCCACAUCAGGGUAAAAUUAUAUUCCAUCUCAAGAAAACAUCCAAGGUUCCCAUCAUUAAAACUUUUAAGAACGUGUAUCACAGAUCAUUAAAAUCAGAUAUUUGCCUGCUCCAAUGUUCAAAUGAUUUCAUCAGAGAAACCCAAUCUGCUCUCUGCCUCCUCUCACAUAGCCCGAUGCCCGCACAACAAAGGGGAUUCUUUAUCUUGAACACUGGUAGUUUCGCAGAGCUUUUCACUACUCUAAUAUUUUUCCCAGCAGUCAUUCAUAUUACAAUGGUUAAAAAAAUUAGUGGUCAAAUAACAUAUUGAAAGGGGAGACCUUCUGUGUUAAAAAUGACCGUCUUUAUUCCAUUGUGAAGCAAAAUUAUCAUUAGCAAGUAGUAAGUGUUGAUAUAUUUUAAUGUGCGACUUCUGUGGACGUCAAGGCUGUUUUAUAGACAAUAAUUCCCAGGUCCUCAGCUGAAGGUAGCUAAUGGCUUUUAUGGGAGGAACAAUGAAGCACAGGUGGGCGACAGGCACCUGGCCCAAAUUGGAGGUGACACCUCACAUGGUCCCUACUCAGCCUUCUUGGCUGACCCUGAUGAUUCCCCCUCCCUGAGGCUGGUUUCUUGGGCCUAUGACCUGUGCCCUCAUACAAAGACCCUCACUGACAGAGGCCCUAUGCUUGGCUUAAUGCUCUGCCACCACCAUCUUGAAAUUCUCAAUCAUUUUGAACAAAGGGCCCCAUGUUUUCAUUUUGCACUGUGUCCCCAAGUUAUGAAGCCAUUCCUGCCCCUUUCAUCCUCAUUCCCUCUGUGCCCCGAGUGCCCCUGGCUUUUCCUAGGACUCAGGAAUGGACUAGGACUCAGUUCCUAGGACUUGACUCAUCUGUCUCUUCCUCUGUCUAGAAUGCCCCCUCUGAUCAUUCCCACCCAGGCUGCUCAAGUGUGGAAAGUUCUGAGUGUGGGCACAGGACAGUUCAGCCUCUCCACGCUCUGCUAAGCUUCAAGCUGAGCCUAGUUGCCCUGAAAGCGGGUGACCUAUGGCAGUCACCACCUUUUCCUAGGACCUGUGCCAAGUGCACACACCAGCUCCUUUCCCUUCCCUUCUGCCAGGUUAUUUAUUUCCUCUCCGAGGGAUCAGCUUACUUGCACAUCAGAAUUGACUGGCACGUACCAAGGCCAAUGAAGGAGCAAGUCUUUACCAGCACCUCCACCCACUCCCCCAAGUCUCUCUGAUGCCUAUAUUCACAGGAGCCUUCUCAGGGAAAGAAUCCCAUUGACAUCAUUUCCAUCAAAGCAAGAAGAAGAGGAUGUCACCUUUUCACACAAAGCCCAAAUAUGGGGCAAAUGAAAGCACCAGGAAAAAGGAACUGCGGAGGACAGAGGUGCCUUGCCGUUAUGGACUGAACGUUUGUAUGAAUGUGGUUGUCCAUAAGCCACGAAGCGGGCCCUCACAGGAACCCAAUCUGCCUGCGCCUGGAUCUUGGACUCCCCAGCCUCCAAAAUGGUGUGAAAUAAAGGUCUUCUUAAGCCACC
Molecule: long non-coding RNA, 4401 nt
Organism: Phacochoerus africanus (Common warthog)
Lineage: Eukaryota; Metazoa; Chordata; Mammalia; Artiodactyla; Suidae
Exons: 2
Source: RefSeq, a predicted model, not a curated record